GACGUAGGGGGCGAGCGUUGUCCGGAUUUAUUGGGCGUAAAGCGCGCGUAGGCGGCCCGUUAAGUCGGAUGUGAAAACUCGAGGCUCAACCUCGAGACGCCGAUGGAAACCCUCCAGCUAGAGUCCGGAAGAGGAGAGUGGAAUUCCUGGUGUAGCGGUGAAAUGCGCAGAUAUCAGGAAGAACACCCGUGGCUAAGGCGGCUCUCUAGUACGGUACUGACGCUGAGACGCGAAAGCGUGGGGAGCGAACAGG
Molecule: ribosomal RNA, 253 nt
Filed under: uncultured bacterium
Lineage: Bacteria
Description: partial 16S ribosomal RNA
Rfam family: Bacterial small subunit ribosomal RNA
Source: RNAcentral